AUGAUAGCCGAAGAAGUGUUUCCUCAGAUCCAAGUUGCCAAUCCUCAGAUGGGGGUUGAGGGUCAGCCUCCAGUCCUGUACGUUUUUCGUCCUUGGACCCUCGCGGAGGCCGCGAAUGCUGUAGCCGGCAUUCCUCCACCGGAGGAUGAUCCAGAGGAAUGGAUAAAAUGUAUGUAUGAUUUGAUUGGCUCCUACCGCUUGAAUGGACAGGAAGCAGGGGAAGCUAUGCAAUCUUCAUUGAAAAUUAAAUGGGGGAGGGUAAAGGGUAAUUACACAGGGAGAAAUGGUGUAGGGACAGUGUUUGCAUAUCCAGCCGAUGGAGUGCUGAUGGGAGAAUAUAAAGAGGCUCUCGAUGCGAUAGCAGCUAGAGUGAAGACUGCUUUUGCGCGCACCGCGAACUACUCUCGCAUAGCUGCCAUAAAACAGAAACCAGAUGAGGAUCCUGAGGAUUUCAGGGCCCGAAUGGAACCUGUGUUCCGUGCUAAUAGUGGUAUAGCAUUCAAUGAAAAUAAAACUGAUGCAUACCAACAACAACUCAAACACGCUAUUAUGCAUGGUUUACACCAGGCAGGCUGGGUCCGCAAACAUUUCAUUGAAUUUGACACCGCGGACGUUCCUACAACUAUGCAGUGGGUCCGCCAUGCAACCAAACACUUAGACUCCAAGAAUGAGAAAGGGAAAGGAGGAAAAGGAGCGAACACAUUUUUCUAUGAUGACGAAGACUGUGAUGCUUUCCUCAAUGACAGCCCAGAUCAUGACACAGUGGAAACGAAGGGGGAUGAUAACCUCAACAGGGAAGCCUGUCCUCGGGAUGUUUUGGCAAUUCUGACACAUACUCAGCAGAGGCAAUACACCCUCUUAUCACCCUCGAUGUCCUCCGUGAUAUGCAGACCUCUGCUCCUGAUAAUGAAAAACAGUAUUGGGUCAAACAAGGCGCUGAAACAGACAAAACAGGACUGUAUACACAGGCUAACAAACCUAUUCUCCCUAAAAACUUGUACAAAGCUGCCGCUAUUUUGA
Molecule: long non-coding RNA, 1020 nt
Filed under: Sparus aurata (gilthead seabream)
Lineage: Eukaryota; Metazoa; Chordata; Actinopteri; Spariformes; Sparidae
Description: lncRNA (ENSSAUG00010002982.1)
Source: RNAcentral